This 67-nucleotide transfer RNA is filed under the name Ibalia leucospoides. Its description in RNAcentral is "tRNA-Gly". The record is from RNAcentral. Lineage: Eukaryota; Metazoa; Arthropoda; Insecta; Hymenoptera; Ibaliidae.
UUUUAUAUAGUAUAAAAAAAUACUUUUUAUUUCCAAUAAAAAAAUUUAAAUAAAUUUAAUAUAAAAA